CAUAACCUUUAGCUUAACAAAUAUUAAAGGCAAUACCUGCCCAGUGAAUAAUUAAACGGCCGCGGUACCCUAACCGUGCAAAGGUAGCGUAAUCAUUUGUCUAUUAAUUGUAGACCUGUAUGAAAGGAUAAAUGAGGGUCUAACUGUCUCUUAUAAUAAAUCAAUUAAACUGAUCUUCUAGUAAAAAAGCUAGAAUCACUCCACAAGACCAGAAGACCCUGUGAAGCUUAAACUAAAAUAUUAAACCAUAUAAUAUCUAAUUUCGGUUGGGGCGACCUUGGAAUAAAAAAGAACUUCCAAACAAUAUGACCAUAAAUCAUACCAGCAGGCCUACAAGCCAUAAACGACCCAGCACAGCUGAUAAUUGAACCAAGUUACUCCAGGGAUAACAGCGCCAUCUUCUUCAAGAGCCCAUAUCAAAAAGAAGGUUUACGACCUCGAUGUUGGAUCAGGACAUCCUGAUGGUGCAACCGCUAUCAAGGGUUCGUUUGUUCAACGAUUAACAGUCCUACGUGA
This 516-nucleotide ribosomal RNA is filed under the name Heterodon platirhinos. RNAcentral describes it as "partial 16S ribosomal RNA". It matches the Rfam family "Bacterial large subunit ribosomal RNA", at positions 1814 to 2603 of the family's 2925-position model. Lineage: Eukaryota; Metazoa; Chordata; Lepidosauria; Squamata; Dipsadidae. The record is from RNAcentral.